GUCUACAGACAUGCCACCCUGAACAAGCCCGAUCCCAUCUGAUCUCGGAAGCUAAGCGGGGUCGGGCCUGGUUAGUACUUGGAUAUGAGACCACCUCGGAAGACCAGGUACUGUAGCCG
Ribosomal RNA from Pteropus vampyrus (large flying fox), 119 nucleotides. NCBI's taxonomy places the organism in Eukaryota, Metazoa, Chordata, Mammalia, Chiroptera, Pteropodidae. The record is from Ensembl.